Syngnathus acus (greater pipefish) is the source of this 210-nucleotide long non-coding RNA. RefSeq lists it as uncharacterized. The record is from RefSeq and is a predicted model, not a curated record. The transcript has 3 exons. Lineage: Eukaryota; Metazoa; Chordata; Actinopteri; Syngnathiformes; Syngnathidae.
AUGUCGAUCCCUAUAUUGCUUGUAAGGCAACUAUGGACAUCAAAGUGUUAUUUGUUGAAGAGCUGGGGCACACUGAGCACCUGCAUGUCAGCGUUGUGCACCACUCAGACUGGAGAGGCUGUAAAGAGCACAGCACAAGCAAACGAACCAGAUGAGAGAGCAACCCUGCAAAGACACAAGACUGGAGUUUCCUUUCCUAUUAAGGUUUUG